AGUUCAAUGGUCUAUAGGAACGAUUCUUGCUUUUUGAGCAAGAGGUCCUGAGUUCGACUCUCAGUUGAGCCC
This 72-nucleotide transfer RNA is filed under the name Clytia hemisphaerica. RNAcentral's name for it is "tRNA-Lys for anticodon UUU". It matches the Rfam family "tRNA". Rfam says of the family: Transfer RNA (tRNA) molecules are approximately 80 nucleotides in length. The record is from Rfam by way of RNAcentral. Lineage: Eukaryota; Metazoa; Cnidaria; Hydrozoa; Leptothecata; Clytiidae.